GAUGAUUGUUAGCACCUGGCUUCACAUUCUUUCAGUUGUUUCCUGCAGGCCUUCUGAAGCAGAACCUCGGGCUCUACUGACUACUUGUCCAGAUCAAAAGGUGUUUCCUGCAAGACGAUUUGGUCUUGUCUCAGAAAUUUUACCUGAUCUGGGAGACUUCAUGAACACGAUGGAAGAGUAGUCACAUAUUUUAUGCUACGCUGGGUGAAGAAUGGCUGGCUGUGGAGAAAUGCAAUUGGACAAUGGAAAUCUGAUCUAAUGGUCCUUGCCCCCCGUUUCAGACUGUUGGAGGAUGAUGGUUCUUCAAAGCAUGUAACCCCGCAGUUCUACUGUCUCCUCAGUCGGGACAAGACUUUCAGCCCUGGUUAGGCAGGCUCGGUGCCGCCUCCUCCGUCUGAAGCAGCUCCUCGGCCUCCUUCACGCCCCGAGAAGAAAGGCAGGGGGUGAGGUCGGAUGAAGGAAAUGAGAACCAAGUGGAAAGGAGGCAAGGAACUUGCUAUUUCAAAAAUUAUACUUGAAAUUUAAAAAAAAAGACUGCAGUUUCAGGACACAAACCUGAUUUUUACUUUUUCUUUUUCUUCUCUCAAAACAGCAAACUUGGGCAAUAGCCUUUUGGCUCCAAAUGGGUCUACCCAUUCUCUUUUGACUUGAAAAUUCUCCUCUUUCCCCUAGGAAUAGACCACCCUUUGGGGUGUCCUACAUGAAUCAACCAUUAUCUCACUAUGGCUGGGUUACCCUCUCCUACUCCUGAGACAAGCCUGAGGCUAUUGUUACAGGCCUGGGGUGAUGGCGAGGCCUUCUGGGGGUGGUUUCUAGGUCUUUUCUGUCCUGAACAAAGAAUUGAACCAAACAAGCACAAAUGGUGGCAGUUUCACGUUUAUUAAAGGUGGGAGAAAAGCAGAAGGGUAGGGAAAAACAGGCUGUACAGAGUGAGUCUGGGCUGCGUAAAAAGGGAGGAAAAAUUAAAAAUAAAAAUACACCCUACAGUAGCAUGGGCUACUGAAGAGGGGCAACAGUGAGCU
This is a long non-coding RNA of Cavia porcellus (domestic guinea pig), 1022 nucleotides long. RefSeq lists it as uncharacterized. The transcript has 3 exons. NCBI's taxonomy places the organism in Eukaryota, Metazoa, Chordata, Mammalia, Rodentia, Caviidae. The record is from RefSeq and is a predicted model, not a curated record.